RNAcentral lists this long non-coding RNA (1049 nucleotides) under Musa acuminata (dwarf banana). Its description in RNAcentral is "long non-coding RNA (MACU_LNC008123)". The record is from RNAcentral. Lineage: Eukaryota; Viridiplantae; Streptophyta; Magnoliopsida; Zingiberales; Musaceae.
AAGAGAGAUUUGGAUAUAGCUUUUCUUAUACUAUUUUCUACUGUGUUGGUACAUGAUAAAUAAGAGUCGUUUUCUGGUUGAUUUUGGAUUUGAUCAUUUGUGAUUGGAUUGUUUUUUCUUCCAAGUCAGUAAACAAAGUCAGUCAACCAGCCGCCCCUGCCCUCGUAUUGUAAUUCCACUCAUGCCCUCGUAUUGUAAUUCUACUAUAGGCUCUAUUUGUUUGUACUAUAGGCUCUAUUUGUUUGAUAGGCAAUAGGCACCCGCAUCUAUUCUACGAGUCACCCAUCUCUAUUUGUUUGAAUCUAUUCUACGAGUCAUCCAUCUCUAUUUGUUUUAUAGGCGAUAGACACCUGUAUCUAUUCUACUAUUUACCCAUAAUGGGCACCAAUAUCCAUCCAAUAUCUAUUAUAUACCAAUAUCCAUCCAAUAUCAAUUAUAUUAUACCAUCCGCGGCACCCACAUCUAUGUAUGACAUGACACCCCUACCCUAGCCUAGACUUUAGCAAACACCUUGAUACAACACCGAGAUCCUCUACAUCUCUUACCUCUUGCUCCGAGACCUUAGUCAACAACUACUGAUUCCACAGCUGACCUUGCAAGACCCAACAAAGACAGAUUCAAAAAGCAAGUAAGUAAACUACCCUCGCAUCAAAGCCAGAACAGUACUACCGGGAUGCAGACUAUAACUCUCACAGGAACAGGAGCAGGAGUAGUUGACAGAGCCAGAUCAGAUCAUAGGCCUCUAUAGUCAGUUGGGGAAGAAAGAAGAGAAUAAAGUACCGUGGGAGUAGCCUUCCCGCGUCUGUAGGUCUAAUAGAAGCCGGUAACUAACCUAGCAUUCCUACUAAUACAGAAAUAAUUAUACACUAAAGCAGAAUCAUUACCGGGUGUUCAAGUUGUCUAGGUUGGUGCUCUAGCUCUAAGUCUACGAGAGAAGAAUAGCCUGUUAUCAAGUCAAGUUCGGGUGCUAAAUCUCUGACUGGCUUUGAUCUAAGUCAAGAAGUCUCAUAUCUUUCUGUUCGAGGUAAGGAAGAAAGAGAAUCAUUUCA